This 114-nucleotide ribosomal RNA is filed under the name Streptococcus sanguinis. RNAcentral also lists the same sequence under 2 other names. Lineage: Bacteria; Bacillati; Bacillota; Bacilli; Lactobacillales; Streptococcaceae. The record is from RNAcentral.
AGUGACGAUAGCCUAGGAGAUACACCUGUACCCAUGCCGAACACAGCAGUUAAGCCCUAGAACGCCGGAAGUAGUUGGGGGUUGCCCCCUGUGAGAUAUGGAAGUCGCUUAGCG